Molecule: ribosomal RNA, 521 nt
Filed under: uncultured bacterium
Lineage: Bacteria
Description: bacterial SSU rRNA
Rfam family: Bacterial small subunit ribosomal RNA
Source: RNAcentral
UGGACGAAAGUCUGAUGGAGCAACGCCGCGUGAGCGAUGAAGGCCUUCGGGUCGUAAAGCUCUGUUGUUAGGGAAGAUCAAGUACCGGAGUAACUGCCGGUACCUUGACGGUACCUAACCAGAAAGCCACGGCUAACUACGUGCCAGCAGCCGCGGUAAUACGUAGGUGGCAAGCGUUGUCCGGAAUUAUUGGGCGUAAAGCGCGCGCAGGCGGUCCUUUAAGUCUGAUGUGAAAGCCCACGGCUCAACCGUGGAGGGUCAUUGGAAACUGGGGGACUUGAGUGCAGAGGAGGAAAGCGGAAUUCCACGUGUAGCGGUGAAAUGCGUAGAGAUGUGGAGGAACACCAGUGGCGAAGGCGGCUUUCUGGUCUGUAACUGACGCUGAGGCGCGAAAGCGUGGGGAGCAAACAGGAUUAGAUACCCUGGUAGUCCACGCCGUAAACGAUGAGUGCUAAGUGUUAGAGGGUUUCCGCCCUUUAGUGCUGCAGCUAACGCAUUAAGCACUCCGCCUGGGGAGUACG